ACUCCUACGGAGGCAGCAGUGGGGAAUAUUGCACAAUGGGCGCAAGCCUGAUGCAUCCAUGCCGCGUGUAUGAAGAAGGCCUUCGGGUUGUAAAGUACUUUCAGCGGGGAGGAAGGUGUUGAGGUUAAUAACCUCGUCGAUUGACGUUACCCGCAGAAGAAGCACCGGCUAACUCCGUGCCAGCAGCCGCGGUAAU
This 196-nucleotide ribosomal RNA is filed under the name uncultured Enterobacter sp. RNAcentral's name for it is "partial 16S ribosomal RNA". It matches the Rfam family "Bacterial small subunit ribosomal RNA", at positions 335 to 524 of the family's 1533-position model. Lineage: Bacteria; Pseudomonadati; Pseudomonadota; Gammaproteobacteria; Enterobacterales; Enterobacteriaceae. The record is from RNAcentral.